UACGAAGGGGGCUAGCGUUGCUCGGAAUUACUGGGCGUAAAGCGCACGUAGGCGGCUUUCUAAGUCGGGGGUGAAAUCCUGGAGCUCAACUCCAGAACUGCCUUCGAUACUGGAAAGCUCGAGUCCGGGAGAGGUGAGUGGAACUGCGAGUGUAGAGGUGAAAUUCGUAGAUAUUCGCAAGAACACCAGUGGCGAAGGCGGCUCACUGGCCCGGUACUGACGCUGAGGAGCGAAAGCGUGGGGAGCGAACAGG
This 253-nucleotide ribosomal RNA is filed under the name uncultured bacterium. RNAcentral's name for it is "partial 16S ribosomal RNA". It matches the Rfam family "Bacterial small subunit ribosomal RNA", at positions 524 to 776 of the family's 1533-position model. The record is from RNAcentral.